This 4796-nucleotide unclassified non-coding RNA is filed under the name Portunus trituberculatus (swimming crab). Its description in RNAcentral is "fK506-binding protein 15-like, transcript variant X2". Lineage: Eukaryota; Metazoa; Arthropoda; Malacostraca; Decapoda; Portunidae. The record is from RNAcentral.
GCCGGCUGUGUGAGGGGCGUGUGUCAGUCUGCAGAAUCAGCGUGGUGGUUGGCUACAGUGCUGAUUCAAACGGGACAGCAAUUUGUUUUUAGAUUAUUCAAACCUUAAUCAUUCUACCAGGUGUGUGUGUGUGUGUGUGUUUGAAGGCUGCUCCAUUGGAUGACUUGCUCUGAGUGGAUGUUUUGCUUCCUGUCUGAUGUGCUGUGAGGGAGGGAUGGUGGCUGGUGUGUUACGAGGAGUGCAGUAACACAACACCAGGCUGACACAGGUGGAAUAACAUCACAGGGAGUCACUCUUCUUUCCCUCUCAAGUCCAGCGUGCUUUGCCCUCCUACGUGAUGCUUUCAGUGGAUGACGAUGAUGAUUACUUCAUUCCCACCACCUCAAGUAACCUGCUCAACAGCAGCCGCCGCUUGGCCAUGCUCUUCAACCCUGAGGAGAUAAGCGGCAGCAGCGGAGGAGGCACAGGCCACCAUGCUGACCUCUCCACUAAUUUCAGGUUUGUGGCGCCUAAGCAGCCACGGCCAGGCAGGAGCAAUUCAUCUGCCUCAUCUGGCACUGGACAAGCCUCCAAGGACGGCCAGGAGGUUCUGCUUGACGUGCACCUCAGUCUGCUACCUCAAGGGGCAGAGAGGAGCAGAGCAGCCAGGACGGCAGUGAGCUGCCAGGUGGUGGGUAAUGCUGUGAGGAGGAGUUUCAUCCUGGUGAUGGUGGUGCAGGACAAAGGCGAGCUGUGGAGAGCUGCUAUUGACUCACAUCUACUUCUGGAGGUACUGGAGUGCUCCACUCUGAGAGUGACAGCUCACGGCAAGUCCCUCACACUGCUGGGAGAGGCACAGCGAAUUGAAGAUUUGGUGACACAGCUGGCCAUCUACCGAGCCGUCACCGGCAGUGGUCCUUCGCACCAGGACCUGUGUGUGGGCAAGGGCCAUGCGCUGAGUGAGGGGGACGUGGCCAAAGUUCACUGCAGCACCCACACCAUUACCUCUGCUGCCCUCAAGGGAGAAGUGAUUGAGAAUGUGAACGGCAUGAAGGUGACUGUGAGCUCAGCUGCAGAAGGUGGGUGGGAGAGCUACCUGGCGGGGGCAACAGUGGACUCCCACAGGCUGAUCUUCCUUCCCAAGCAAAGGGAUGGUAAGUGGUUGCCUCCAACAACAUUCCACAACAUAACAGUCUUGAAAGUAAAAACCAAAGGGAGCAAGGACAAGCCACCGCCAGCAGCAGGGUCAACACCACCCCCAGUCAGUAACAACACCAGUCUUGCUACACAACAACAACAACAGACAGUCACUUCCCAGGAUGCACCUCUUACUACAUCACCAAAUUUUACAGGUCAGAAUGGAGACACUGCUGAGUCACAAGGCCACAAUGCUCAGGAGGACAGGGAGGCAAGCAGGAAGGCCGCACUGGUGUCUCGCAUGGCUCAGCUUGGCACUCCACUCUUCCCUCCACUGCCCAGUGCCAAGGUGCCACAGUCCUCCGAGGGGACUGGCGAGGCUGCCGUGGAGAUGCAAGAACCAUCAGUAGAAGAGGUAUCAAUUCCUGCUGCCACUCCUACACCUUCUACCCAGAUUCCCGAGUCGUCCACCUCCACUAUUGUCUCUGCUCCUACUACUACUUCCUCCUCUGCUCUGCUUACUUCUACAUGUAUGUCUGUCCCUCCCACCGCUAUUGCUGCUGCCUCUCCAGUCUUCGUUCCCACAGUGCCUCAUCAGCACCAGACACACUCCCCAGCACUGGACUCCACCCUGGCACUCAGCAUCUGUCAGCUUGGGACAUCAGUGGCCAGGAUCUCAGACAAGGUUGAUCUGCUGCUGACCAAGGUGGAUAAGGUUGAGGCAGGAGGCUCCUGUGGCUCUGGCUCCCCAGCUCCCAGUGAUCCUGAGGCGCUGAUGGCCCUGGCAGGUGGCCUGGUGGCACACAAUGAGAGGCUGCGGGGAGAGGUGGAGGCCCUGGAGAGGAAGCUUUGUGAGAGUCAGACGUCUUGUGCUUCACUCCUGACCAUGAAUGCUGAACUUCUGGAGGAGAAGAGGGAAUUGCUGAGGAGAGAAGCUGAACAAAGGAAGGAGGAGGAGGAAGAUAAGCAGGAAGAAAGUGCUGAAGACUUAAAAGACAAAGAAGAACCAGUGAAGGAGCAACUAGAAAAGGACACCCAAACAGAGGCUGAGGAAGGAAACAGUGAGGAAGAGGACAAGCAGGGCCUGAUGGCAGAGCAGGUGAGGUCACUGGUCAAGUCAACCCUUUCUGGCCUGUUCCGUCACCUGUCUGACACCUUCAGUGAGGAGGAGCAACAUUCUCGGCCUGAGGUCCUGCGCACUGUGAAGUCUGGCCUGCAGGUGGCUUAUUCCACUUUUGUUGAAAACUUUGAGGAGAUAGUGGGGGUGGAGGAAACAGCAGCAGAAGAGGAAGAAGGAAGUGGAGAGGAACAAACACAGCAUGAAGAGGAUGAGAAAAGAGAGAACACGGAAAGCCAUAAUGUGGAGGUCAGGAGUGGAGAAAGUGAUCCAGGUGAGGAUAUUUAUGAAGACUUUGCCAGGGAGGAGAGGUGGAAGGAAAAGGAGGAGGAGGAGAAGGAGAAGGAGAAGCCAACAGAAAUACAAACCACACUUGAAAUUGAGUCCCUGAACCUGAAAGAAAACAAAUUAAUUAACACCAAUGAAAAAGAGGAUGAGGAUUUAAAGGAACCAACUUCCUUGUGGUUGGAGGAGGCAGAGGAGACACCAGAGGCAGAUGAUUAGGAAGGAAAGCAACAUAAGGAGGAGAGAGAGAGGAGGAAGUGGCAGACUUUAAGAAUGAAAUGUUGUAAGGAAAGAUGAACCAGUGAUGAAGAGAAAGGAGCAGGAGUAGAAGCAAGGUGGUGAAGGUGUUUUGUCCACACACCUCAUGUCCUGCAGUGCUCAAGAGUGUCUUCUGAGUGGCCUGGCCAGUAGCUCAUCAUUGCUCAAAUAUUAAAUCAUUGAUUUAGUCCCAGGUGUGGCAGAGGCUCGGCAGUAAUGAAAUAUGAGCUGUUGCCUUGCUGUGCUGUGUGUGUCCUCAUUCUGGGCUGUUGUUGCCCGGCUUGUUGAUAUUUUAAUGUAACAUUAAUUCUUUUUUUAAGGUAUUUAGCUUGUGUGAUUAUUGUUGCUAUGCAGAAAGAAGGAUGAAAAUAAUUAAUUCAUCUGGUAACAGUAAGAUUAGUAUAGAUUGGUAAUGUCUACAGAUGAAGAUUGUGUAGAAACAUGACAGCAUCAAACUGUCUUACUAAACCAAAGUGGUGAGAGUCAUUAUGCUUCACCCAGGGGUUCAUCACCACAGUGUACAGUUUCUCUGUCUACCCUCCGAUGUCAUGGUUACAGAGUGUUAGGUGCUACAGUUUUACGCAGGAGAGCAUUGACCAGGGAACAGUAAACAAGUCCUUCCAUUUGAUCUUCAGGAUAAAGUUUCCCAUUCAUGGAAGUUUGAACAUUUGCAUAUCUUAUUGUCCCUCCUCUCAUUGUGCAUCAUUUCCAUGAUCACUCCCCACAAGUCUUUCACUCAUCAUGAAGGAGAGGACAUGUCACUCACAUAAUGAUCUGAUUACAAAGAUGCAAAGAAAGAAGCCAUUCCAUGUGCAGCCUUAGCCGUGCUUUUUCCUGCUGCAGUGCUCUUCAGGUAGUGAGGUGUCAGUUAUGCGGCAUAUGGAAAUGAUUGAGAUUGGGAUCAUGUUAUACAAGUGGUCUGGAGUUUCCAUCGUGCUCCACCUUUUGCCGAGUUUACUUCAAGGAAAAAUUGAAGGGACUAUUAAUAUUUCUGUUUCAUAGAGGUAUCUAUAUCAGUUUUCAGUUCCUCUCUACUAUUUUGCUAGAUCUGAAUGUCUCAUAUGACAUUAGAAUGUGAUAUUUGAUAGGCUGUGGGAUAAAAUCAUCUACAAUAAGGAUAAAGACAUCCAUCUGUUGUUCCCUUCCCAAAAUUAGAUUACAUAUUUUCUUCAUGCGUAAUACAUGGAUAGGAUACCCUGCCUUUCAACAAUCAGACUUUAUGAUCUGUUAAGAUUAGACAGACAUUAAGUUAGCUAGUCAAUCAUUUUAAGUUUUAAGAAACCAAAUAAGUAUCAUCUUACUAUAAUCAUUAUCGUCAUAUUGUCAUCUUGUUAUAUUGUUGCUAGAAUUUGUAUGAAUUUGAUGCAUUGUUGUUUUGUUUAUUAGGUGUCACAAAUUGUCAUACAAGAUGGACUGCAGUGUUCACCUAUAGCUGCAGCGGUCAGGUCGGUGCGCAUCAUUGAUUCAGAACAAUCCAAAUUUUAGUAGGAAUUAGGAAAAGGUGAUUAAUUUUGUCUUGGUACAUUUUAAUCGGCUCCACAGUAAUUUGAAUUAUUAGUUUAUUGACAUUUUUUUCUUAUUAAGGUAAAUUGUUAAUUGAUUGGCUACAUACAUAUCCAAUAUAUUUGGUUUUGAUAAAGUGCCAAAUUUUGAGUUUGAAAAACUAAAAGAUUUAUUCAAUGUCUUUCCUCAGUGCAAUAGUCAUAUUUUCUUGAUUAUUGUUAUGUAUUCAGUUUUUAUUUUUUACUUUUUCAGUAUCCACAUACCAACAUUGGCAGGUGCUACUGAUGUGGUACUUUGUUUCCUUUGCAUCACGAGGGGAGAUUGUCAUGUUUCAUAUUUAUUUCAUUGGUAAGGAUUUGUGGGAUCAUGGUGUGUGUUUCAGAGAGCAUCAUGAAGUACAGCACACUAAGCAAAGCAUUCCUGGCUCACAAGUAUUAGUUGUUGGGUCAAUCCAAAAGUAUUUUGUUUACUGUUUAAUGUAGUUUUGUACAUUUAAUGAUAAACAACAAAAAAUUAU